UUCAGGGGUAAACCUGAGAAACCCGAAAGGUCGAAAGGGGAAAUUCAUUCGCGUUUCGACCGUCGAAGUGGAGCGAUCGAGCGACGGACGGCGUACGCGUCGUCCGCGCCUUUCGUUCUACCUGAGUUCGGCGUCGAACGCGUGCACUUUUCCCCUAGUAGGACGUCGCGAUCCGUUGGGUGUCGGUCUAAGGCCCGCGGUGGAGCCCGGGCGUGCGUCUUCGGACGUUCGCGCUCGGACCCGCGGUGUCCCGGCCGACCCGCUCGACGGUAUACAGAUGGCGCGGGGCCGCUAAUUCACAAUUAGCGUUCGGCCCGCGGCAAGCGCGUACGGUGUUGGCGGCGAUCGGACCCGGUGCCGGUCCCGCCCCCGGACGACUGUUGGCCGCGGUGUUCUCGAACAGACCUCGUCUCGAAACGCCGAUCUGCGACGCUAUAGCUUUGGGUACUUUCAGGACCCACGGACCAAGGAGUCUAGCAUGUGCGCGAGUCAUUGGGACAUAACUAAACCUAAAGGCGCAAUGAAAGUGAAGGUCCGCCUCGCGCGGACCGAGGGAGGAUGGGCGGUUCGUACGUCCGUGCGACCGCUCCGCACUCCCGGGGCGUCUCGUUCUCAUCGCGAGAAGAGGCGCACCAAGAGC
RNAcentral lists this ribosomal RNA (640 nucleotides) under Xenohammus bimaculatus. Its description in RNAcentral is "eukaryotic LSU rRNA". The record is from RNAcentral. Lineage: Eukaryota; Metazoa; Arthropoda; Insecta; Coleoptera; Cerambycidae.